RNAcentral lists this ribosomal RNA (1419 nucleotides) under Staphylococcus saprophyticus. RNAcentral's name for it is "bacterial SSU rRNA". It matches the Rfam family "Bacterial small subunit ribosomal RNA". Lineage: Bacteria; Bacillati; Bacillota; Bacilli; Caryophanales; Staphylococcaceae. The record is from RNAcentral.
UGCAGUCGAGCGAACAGAUAAGGAGCUUGCUCCUUUGACGUUAGCGGCGGACGGGUGAGUAACACGUGGGUAACCUACCUAUAAGACUGGGAUAACUUCGGGAAACCGGAGCUAAUACCGGAUAACAUUUGGAACCGCAUGGUUCUAAAGUGAAAGAUGGUUUUGCUAUCACUUAUAGAUGGACCCGCGCCGUAUUAGCUAGUUGGUAAGGUAACGGCUUACCAAGGCGACGAUACGUAGCCGACCUGAGAGGGUGAUCGGCCACACUGGAACUGAGACACGGUCCAGACUCCUACGGGAGGCAGCAGUAGGGAAUCUUCCGCAAUGGGCGAAASCCUGAMGGAGCAACSCCGCKUGAGUGAUGAAGGGUUUCGGCUCGUAAAACUCUGUUAUUAGGGAAGAACAAAUGUGUAAGUAACUGUGCACGUCUUGACGGUACCUAAUCAGAAAGCCACGGCUAACUACGUGCCAGCAGCCGCGGUAAUACGUAGGUGGCAAGCGUUAUCCGGAAUUAUUGGGCGUAAAGCGCGCGUAGGCGGUUUCUUAAGUCUGAUGUGAAAGCCCACGGCUCAACCGUGGAGGGUCAUUGGAAACUGGGAAACUUGAGUGCAGAAGAGGAAAGUGGAAUUCCAUGUGUAGCGGUGAAAUGCGCAGAGAUAUGGAGGAACACCAGUGGCGAAGGCGACUUUCUGGUCUGUAACUGACGCUGAUGUGCGAAAGCGUGGGGAUCAAACAGGAUUAGAUACCCUGGUAGUCCACGCCGUAAACGAUGAGUGCUAAGUGUUAGGGGGUUUCCGCCCCUUAGUGCUGCAGCUAACGCAUUAAGCACUCCGCCUGGGGAGUACGACCGCAAGGUUGAAACUCAAAGGAAUUGACGGGGACCCGCACAAGCGGUGGAGCAKGUGGUUUAAUUCGAAGCAACGCGAAGAACCUUACCAAAUCUUGACAUCCUUUGAAAACUCUAGAGAUAGAGCCUUCCCCUUCGGGGGACAAAGUGACAGGUGGUGCAUGGUUGUCGUCAGCUCGUGUCGUGAGAUGUUGGGUUAAGUCCCGCAACGAGCGCAACCCUUAAGCUUAGUUGCCAUCAUUAAGUUGGGCACUCUAGGUUGACUGCCGGUGACAAACCGGAGGAAGGUGGGGAUGACGUCAAAUCAUCAUGCCCCUUAUGAUUUGGGCUACACACGUGCUACAAUGGACAAUACAAAGGGCAGCUAAACCGCGAGGUCAUGCAAAUCCCAUAAAGUUGUUCUCAGUUCGGAUUGUAGUCUGCAACUCGACUACAUGAAGCUGGAAUCGCUAGUAAUCGUAGAUCAGCAUGCUACGGUGAAUACGUUCCCGGGUCUUGUACACACCGCCCGUCACACCACGAGAGUUUGUAACACCCGAAGCCGGUGUGAGUAACCAUUUAUGGAGCUAGCC